UACGUAGGGUGCGAGCGUUGUCCGGAAUUACUGGGCGUAAAGAGCUCGUAGGCGGUUUGUCGCGUCGUCUGUGAAAUUCUGCAACUCAAUUGCAGGCGUGCAGGCGAUACGGGCAGACUUGAGUACUACAGGGGAGACUGGAAUUCCUGGUGUAGCGGUGAAAUGCGCAGAUAUCAGGAGGAACACCGGUGGCGAAGGCGGGUCUCUGGGUAGUAACUGACGCUGAGGAGCGAAAGCGUGGGGAGCGAACAGG
RNAcentral lists this ribosomal RNA (253 nucleotides) under uncultured bacterium. RNAcentral's name for it is "partial 16S ribosomal RNA". It matches the Rfam family "Bacterial small subunit ribosomal RNA", at positions 524 to 776 of the family's 1533-position model. The record is from RNAcentral. RNAcentral also lists the same sequence under 1 other name.